UAAGUGAAGAGUUUGAUCCUGGCUCAGAGUGAACGCUGGCGGUAGGCCUAACACAUGCAAGUCGAACGGCAGCACAGGAGAGCUUGCUCUCUGGGUGGCGAGUGGCGGACGGGUGAGGAAUACAUCGGAAUCUACUUUUUCGUGGGGGAUAACGUAGGGAAACUUACGCUAAUACCGCAUACGACCUACGGGUGAAAGCAGGGGAUCUUCGGACCUUGCGCGAUUGAAUGAGCCGAUGUCGGAUUAGCUAGUUGGCGGGGUAAAGGCCCACCAAGGCGACGAUCCGUAGCUGGUCUGAGAGGAUGAUCAGCCACACUGGAACUGAGACACGGUCCAGACUCCUACGGGAGGCAGCAGUGGGGAAUAUUGGACAAUGGGCGCAAGCCUGAUCCAGCCAUACCGCGUGGGUGAAGAAGGCCUUCGGGUUGUAAAGCCCUUUUG
Molecule: ribosomal RNA, 441 nt
Filed under: Stenotrophomonas maltophilia
Lineage: Bacteria; Pseudomonadati; Pseudomonadota; Gammaproteobacteria; Lysobacterales; Lysobacteraceae
Description: bacterial SSU rRNA
Rfam family: Bacterial small subunit ribosomal RNA
Source: RNAcentral